UACGUAGGGUCCGAGCGUUGUCCGGAAUUAUUGGGCGUAAAGAGCUCGUAGGCGGUUUGUCGCGUCUGCUGUGAAAUCCCGAGGCUCAACCUCGGGCCUGCAGUGGGUACGGGCAGACUGGAGUGCGGUAGGGGAGAAUGGAAUUCCUGGUGUAGCGGUGAAAUGCGCAGAUAUCAGGAGGAACACCGGUGGCGAAGGCGGGUCUCUGGGCCGAUACUGACGCUGAGGAGCGAAAGCGUGGGGAGCGAACAGG
RNAcentral lists this ribosomal RNA (253 nucleotides) under uncultured bacterium. RNAcentral describes it as "partial 16S ribosomal RNA". It matches the Rfam family "Bacterial small subunit ribosomal RNA", at positions 524 to 776 of the family's 1533-position model. The record is from RNAcentral.